This 3137-nucleotide ribosomal RNA is filed under the name Salmonella enterica subsp. enterica serovar Heidelberg str. 41578. RNAcentral describes it as "bacterial LSU rRNA". It matches the Rfam family "Bacterial large subunit ribosomal RNA". Lineage: Bacteria; Pseudomonadati; Pseudomonadota; Gammaproteobacteria; Enterobacterales; Enterobacteriaceae. The record is from RNAcentral.
AGGUUAAGCGACUAAGCGUACACGGUGGAUGCCCUGGCAGUCAGAGGCGAUGAAGGACGUGCUAAUCUGCGAUAAGCGCCGGUAAGGUGAUAUGAACCGUUAUAACCGGCGAUUUCCGAAUGGGGAAACCCAGUGUGAUUCGUCACACUAUCAUUAACUGAAUCCAUAGGUUAAUGAGGCGAACCGGGGGAACUGAAACAUCUAAGUACCCCGAGGAAAAGAAAUCAACCGAGAUUCCCCCAGUAGCGGCGAGCGAACGGGGAGGAGCCCAGAGCCUGAAUCAGCAUGUGUGUUAGUGGAAGCGUCUGGAAAGGCGCGCGAUACAGGGUGACAGCCCCGUACACAAAAGCGCAUGUGCUGUGAGCUCGAUGAGUAGGGCGGGACACGUGGUAUCCUGUCUGAAUAUGGGGGGACCAUCCUCCAAGGCUAAAUACUCCUGACUGACCGAUAGUGAACCAGUACCGUGAGGGAAAGGCGAAAAGAACCCCGGCGAGGGGAGUGAAAAAGAACCUGAAACCGUGUACGUACAAGCAGUGGGAGCCCCACCACCAAAGCAUUUGCUGUACCAUGUUGACGGAGCGAAGCGACGUCAAACCGAUAAAACAGCAGUGUAAAGUGAGCCGCAGGGCGCUUUGCGCGACAGCGCAAAGGCAGGCGGUUUCGCGUAGCGAAAGCGAAUGCUUUGGGGUGGGGUGACUGCGUACCUUUUGUAUAAUGGGUCAGCGACUUAUAUUCUGUAGCAAGGUUAACCGAAUAGGGGAGCCGGAGGGAAACCGAGUCUUAACCGGGCGUUAAGUUGCAGGGUAUAGACCCGAAACCCGGUGAUCUAGCCAUGGGCAGGUUGAAGGUUGGGUAACACUAACUGGAGGACCGAACCGACUAAUGUUGAAAAAUUAGCGGAUGACCUGUGGCUGGGGGUGAAAGGCCAAUCAAACCGGGAGAUAGCUGGUUCUCCCCGAAAGCUAUUUAGGUAGCGCCUCGUGAAUUCAUCUCCGGGGGUAGAGCACUGUUUCGGCUAGGGGGCCAUCCCGGCUUACCAACCCGAUGCAAACUGCGAAUACCGGAGAAUGUUAUCACGGGAGACACACGGCGGGUGCUAACGUCCGUCGUGAAGAGGGAAACAACCCAGACCGCCAGCUAAGGUCCCAAAGUCAUGGUUAAGUGGGAAACGAUGUGGGAAGGCCCAGACAGCCAGGAUGUUGGCUUAGAAGCAGCCAUCAUUUAAAGAAAGCGUAAUAGCUCACUGGUCGAGUCGGCCUGCGCGGAAGAUGUAACGGGGCUAAACCAUGCACCGAAGCUGCGGCAGCGAACGUAUCACUUAAAGCGAUUCAGCGGGUUACGAUUGACGGAGCGAAGCGACGUCAAAGCGUAUACAAAGUCGAGUCGGUUUAAGGAUACGUUCGUUGGGUAGGGGAGCGUUCUGUAAGCCUGUGAAGGUGGCCUGUGAGGGUUGCUGGAGGUAUCAGAAGUGCGAAUGCUGACAUAAGUAACGAUAAAGCGGGUGAAAAGCCCGCUCGCCGGAAGACCAAGGGUUCCUGUCCAACGUUAAUCGGGGCAGGGUGAGUCGACCCCUAAGGCGAGGCCGAAAGGCGUAGUCGAUGGGAAACGGGUUAAUAUUCCCGUACUUGGUGUUACUGCGAAGGGGGGACGGAGAAGGCUAUGUUGGCCGGGCGACGGUUGUCCCGGUUUAAGCGUGUAGGUGUGUGUUCCAGGUAAAUCCGGUUCACUUUAACACUGAGGCGUGAUGACGAGGCACUACGGUGCUGAAGCAACAAAUGCCCUGCUUCCAGGAAAAGCCUCUAAGCAUCAGGUAACAUCAAAUCGUACCCCAAACCGACACAGGUGGUCAGGUAGAGAAUACCAAGGCGCUUGAGAGAACUCGGGUGAAGGAACUAGGCAAAAUGGUGCCGUAACUUCGGGAGAAGGCACGCUGACACGUAGGUGAAGUGAUUUACUCACGGAGCUGAAGUCAGUCGAAGAUACCAGCUGGCUGCAACUGUUUAUUAAAAACACAGCACUGUGCAAACACGAAAGUGGACGUAUACGGUGUGACGCCUGCCCGGUGCCGGAAGGUUAAUUGAUGGGGUCAGCGCAAGCGAAGCUCCUGAUCGAAGCCCCGGUAAACGGCGGCCGUAACUAUAACGGUCCUAAGGUAGCGAAAUUCCUUGUCGGGUAAGUUCCGACCUGCACGAAUGGCGUAAUGAUGGCCAGGCUGUCUCCACCCGAGACUCAGUGAAAUUGAACUCGCUGUGAAGAUGCAGUGUACCCGCGGCAAGACGGAAAGACCCCGUGAACCUUUACUAUAGCUUGACACUGAACAUUGAGCCUUGAUGUGUAGGAUAGGUGGGAGGCUUUGAAGCGUGGACGCCAGUCUGCGUGGAGCCAACCUUGAAAUACCACCCUUUAAUGUUUGAUGUUCUAACGUGGACCCGUGAUCCGGGUUGCGGACAGUGUCUGGUGGGUAGUUUGACUGGGGCGGUCUCCUCCUAAAGAGUAACGGAGGAGCACGAAGGUUGGCUAAUCCUGGUCGGACAUCAGGAGGUUAGUGCAAUGGCAUAAGCCAGCUUGACUGCGAGCGUGACGGCGCGAGCAGGUGCGAAAGCAGGUCAUAGUGAUCCGGUGGUUCUGAAUGGAAGGGCCAUCGCUCAACGGAUAAAAGGUACUCCGGGGAUAACAGGCUGAUACCGCCCAAGAGUUCAUAUCGACGGCGGUGUUUGGCACCUCGAUGUCGGCUCAUCACAUCCUGGGGCUGAAGUAGGUCCCAAGGGUAUGGCUGUUCGCCAUUUAAAGUGGUACGCGAGCUGGGUUUAGAACGUCGUGAGACAGUUCGGUCCCUAUCUGCCGUGGGCGCUGGAGAACUGAGGGGGGCUGCUCCUAGUACGAGAGGACCGGAGUGGACGCAUCACUGGUGUUCGGGUUGUCAUGCCAAUGGCACUGCCCGGUAGCUAAAUGCGGAAGAGAUAAGUGCUGAAAGCAUCUAAGCACGAAACUUGCCCCGAGAUGAGUUCUCCCUGAGACUUAGAGUCUCCUGAAGGAACGUUGAAGACGACGACGUUGAUAGGCCGGGUGUGUAAGCGCAGCGAUGCGUUGAGCUAACCGGUACUAAUGAACCGUGAGGCUUAACCUUACAACGCCGA